Molecule: ribosomal RNA, 253 nt
Filed under: uncultured bacterium
Lineage: Bacteria
Description: partial 16S ribosomal RNA
Rfam family: Bacterial small subunit ribosomal RNA
Source: RNAcentral
UACGUAGGGUGCGAGCGUUAAUCGGAAUUACUGGGCGUAAAGCGUGCGCAGGCGGUUCGUUGUGUCGGCGGUGAAAGCCCCGGGCUUAACCUGGGAAUGGCCGUUGAAACUGGCGAACUGGAGUGUGGCAGAGGGGGGUGGAAUUCCGCGUGUAGCAGUGAAAUGCGUAGAGAUGCGGAGGAACACCGGUGGCGAAGGCGGCUCACUGGCUCGUAACUGACGCUCAUGCACGACAGCGUGGGGAUCAAACAGG